AACGGUCUAUACCUGCGGUACCUGCGGAAGGAUCAUUACCGAGUUUACAAAACUCCCAAACCCUUUGUGAACCUUACCUAUCGUUGCUUCGGCGGGACCGCCCCGGCGCCCUCGCGGCCCGGAACCAGGCGCCCGCCGGAGGCCCCAAACCCUCAUGUCUUUAGUGGUUUCCUCCUCUGAGUGACAUAAACAAAUAAAGUAAAAACUUUUAACAACGGAUCUCUAGAUCGGAAGAGCACA
This 240-nucleotide unclassified non-coding RNA is filed under the name soil metagenome. Its description in RNAcentral is "partial contains 5.8S ribosomal RNA, internal transcribed spacer 2, and large subunit ribosomal RNA". The record is from RNAcentral.